RNAcentral lists this ribosomal RNA (497 nucleotides) under uncultured bacterium. RNAcentral describes it as "partial 16S ribosomal RNA". It matches the Rfam family "Bacterial small subunit ribosomal RNA", at positions 28 to 507 of the family's 1533-position model. The record is from RNAcentral.
GAUGAACGCUGGCGGCGUGCCUAAUACAUGCAAGUCGAGCGAACAGAUAAGGAUCUUGCUCCUUUGACGUUAGCGGCGGACGGGUGAGUAACACGUGGAUAACCUACCUAUAAGACUGGGAUAACUUCGGGAAACCGGAGCUAAUACCGGAUAACAUAUUGAACCGCAUGGUUCAAUAGUGAAAGGCGGCUUUGCUGUCACUUAUAGAUGGAUCCGCGCCGUAUUAGCUAGUUGGUAAGGUAACGGCUUACCAAGGCAACGAUACGUAGCCGACCUGAGAGGGUGAUCGGCCACACUGGAACUGAGACACGGUCCAGACUCCUACGGGAGGCAGCAGUAGGGAAUCUUCCGCAAUGGGCGAAAGCCUGACGGAGCAACGCCGCGUGAGUGAUGAAGGUCUUCGGAUCGUAAAACUCUGUUAUCAGGGAAGAACAAAUGUGUAAGUAACUGUGCACAUCUUGACGGUACCUGAUCAGAAAGCCACGGCUAACUACGUG